AAUGAACGCUGGCGGCGUGCUUAACACAUGCAAGUCGGAUGUGCCGCAAGGUGCAUGGCAGACGGGUGAGUAACGCGUGGGGAACCUACCUUUUCGUGGGGAAUAACGCUCCGAAAGGAGUGGUAAUACCGCAUGAGACCGAUCGCUGGGAUGCGGUCGGUGAAAGCUGGGGAUCGAAAGACCUGGCGCGAGGAGAGGGUCCUGCGUCUGAUUAGCUAGUUGGUGGGGUAAUGGCCUACCAAGGCGACGAUCAGUAGCCGGCCUGAGAGGGUGAUCGGCCACACUGGAACUGAGACACGGUCCAGACUCCUACGGGAGGCAGCAGUGGGGAAUUUUGCGCAAUGGGCGAGAGCCUGACGCAGCAACGCCGCGUGGGUGAUGAAGGUCUUCGGAUUGUAAAACCCUGUCGUCGGGGACGAAGGUACGCAUGUAAAUAGCGUGUGUGCUUGACGGUACCCGGAGAGGAAGCCCCGGCUAACUCUGUGCCAGCAGCCGCGGUAAUACAGAGGGGGCAAGCGUUAUUCGGAAUUAUUGGGCGUAAAGGGCGCGUAGGCGGUGCCAUAAGUGAGAUGUGUAAUCCCCGAGCUCAACUUGGGAACUGCAUCUCAGACUGUGGUGCUGGAGUGCUGGAGAGGGUGGUGGAAUUCCUCGUGUAGCGGUGAAAUGCGUAGAGAUGAGGAGGAACACCAGUGGCGAAGGCGGCCACCUGGACAGUAACUGACGCUGAGGCGCGAAAGUGUGGGUAGCAAACAGGAUUAGAUACCCUGGUAGUCCACGCUGUAAACGAUGAACACUUGGUGUGGAGGGAGUUGACCCCUUCCGUGCCGUAGC
RNAcentral lists this ribosomal RNA (831 nucleotides) under uncultured bacterium. RNAcentral's name for it is "bacterial SSU rRNA". It matches the Rfam family "Bacterial small subunit ribosomal RNA", at positions 28 to 852 of the family's 1533-position model. The record is from RNAcentral.